AAACAUUUUUGACUUCACUUUCCUCUUUCAGUACUUCACUUUUCCUUCAGCUUUCCAUUUGACAUUUCAAUACGCAUGUUUCUGAAGAACUGAGGUGAAAUGAGGUGAAGAUAGCUAAGGAACUGGUUCUUUUAUCUGAUACAAUCUGAAGAGUCGAAGAACUGAGCUGAAGAGUUGAAGUCUUCGAAGAAUUGGUAUAUCAAGUUGUCUUCUCCAAAGAACGAUUCCUUGAAGAAUAAGAACCAUUCUCUUUGCUGAAACGUAUUUCGUCAAGUGGUAGUUCUAAAACAGUUUUCUUGUUAGCUGAAGUGUUUGAUUUUUCAUUUUGUGUAUAGAAGAAAUGAAUAAUGUUGGGUUGUUGACAUGAUGAUGAACUGAAUCUCAUUCGUCUCUCCGUCACACUUUUCUCUCAACUGUCUUUCUGAAGAACACGAUUUCAAAGAGAUUUUGUUGGAUUUGGGUUUAACAGGUAAGAAAUUUCAUUUUGAAAGUCUAAAUUUUAACUAUAGGGUUUUGAUAUUCUUGUGUUUUUAUACAAUUUUGGGGAGUGUGACUUGUAUUUUAGUUUCAUCAUUUUAUUUUUUGGAGGGUAGCUUGUAUAUUAACAUCCCUAUAUAAACGUCUUUUUCACUGUUAGGUACUGAAAAAAAGUUGGGAUGUAUUUGAGCAAAAACAUUUCGAGCAACUGAAGAAAAUAGUUAAUAUAUAUAUAUAUAUAUAUAUAGAUAGAUAGAUAGAUAGAUAGAUAGAUAGAUAGAUAGAGAAAGAGAGAGAAACACAUUCACGGCAGGGAGAGUCAAGUGACGAUAAGAGUAUGACAUUUUCUAACUCAUUUCACAGAUCAGUUUUCCCAAUUUUUGUUCGAGUCUGAGAUUCAGCCUGAAAUUCUCAUCCGUUGUUAGUGUUUAAGUUUCUUGGUGAAGAUCGUUUCCCUGCACUUCCCUCGUUCCAGUUUACUGCCUGAAGAAAGGUAAUGUUGUUUUCCUCAUAGUUUCCGGUGCAUAACUCUACCCUCCACUUACUCCACUUGUGUGAUUAUGUUGUGUAUGUUGUUGUAUCCCCUGACCUUACUCGUGGGGUUACACUAGUUUUUUGUUCUUGUUGCUGUAAUAAUAGUAGUGCACAUAGUUGAAUAUCACAAUCCUCUCAUUGAAGAGAACCAUCAUGUUUUGAUGUUUUGUGUUACGACAUGAGUAAUAUAUCACAAUCUACACAUUGAGACGAUCUCUUUUCUUUUAUUACAUAUAAAACAUCAGUCUAUCUUCUGGUGGGUGUUGUUAGUUCGAAAACAAAUAUUUUCCCCCUGCUUAGCCACAAAUGAUUCGGUAAAUAGGUGACUCUAUGGUCCUUCCAUUGGUAUUCAUGUUAAUUUCUGCAGAUGCAGAAGAAUUUCCUUAUUUUUAUUGUGAUUGCUGGUACUGUUGUUUGUUCAUGUUUAAGAUCUUUCUUGCUAUACUAGGUAGAUUUUGAAAUCUGUUAUACUGCUGCUUGUUUUCUUGGUUAAUAGCUAUGUUUAUGAUGUAAUCACCGAAUUGAUUAGCUUCUCAAAAUGUAUGCAUUAUCUAUAUUUGAAUUGUCGCCAUAAUCAUAUGCAUCUUCUCUAUCUUUUCAAUUAAACUCCAUGGUACCCUCCACUCUCGUUGAAUCAUGUUCUUGACAGUUAGAGAUUUAGUAUCUAAAAUGACAUUGGUGAUCCCACACCUCUUGCAGUAAAUUAGUUCUUUCAAAAUUGCUGUGAUUUCAGCUUCCAUGUUUGUCAUGUUACCUAUGCUUUGUGUUUCUGCAUAUAGUAGAUCUCCUUGGCUUCCUAUUACAAAAAAUCCAUAAGGUAUCUCUUUUGGGUUGCCUUUGCUAGUGCCAUCCGUUUUACACUUUACCCAACCUUCCCCUGGUGUAGACAACUUUACGAUGUGAUUGUAAAGAUUUGGUUUAUACUACUGAAGUAAAUCAAACAUCCCUUACCAAUGGUAAGGAAUAGCUCGUAACCAUGGAUAUUUGGCUCUUAUGAAGUGAGAAGAGCACUCCUUGGCAAAGAGGGAGGGAAUUCAAGGUAAAAAUCCCAGCCAAAUUAACCUGACAGAAUAAACAUGACAUAGUUGACAUAUCAUUCAUUUGUAAUGUUGCAGUAAAAACUUCGUCAUACUUGUGCUCCCCUAACUUUCUAGAUAUCUCUUUUGUUGGAUCUGGAAGUGUCUCAAUCUUUUCAUGUAGCAAUUAUCCAUUAUUCAUGUGGUUGAGUGGAUUUGUUGAUUGGGAAUUUUCUCCAGAAACUGCAAGACCAAGCAACUGUCUCUGACUAUCAGCAAAAUCUCCGCUCAAUGUCUAUGUGAUUGCCGAUGCUGAAUUGAUGGCAUCUCUAUGAGAAAUUGCCAAUGGGAAAGAUAUCAAAGAGAUUCAAACAAAGCGAGAAGAAUGAAUCAAUGAACAAUAUUAAAGAAAAAAGGUUUGAAUGCAAACAAAUCACAAAGUCCAUUGAAGAAUCUGGAUGUUGAUAUGUAAUACCGAUCAAGUGCUGAAUUGGCCAACAAAUUCAAGAUUAAGAGAGAACAGCUUCCAAAUGAACGCAAUGAUAAAUUUAAGAAAGAGCAGGCACCAAUACCACAUAAAAGAAAGAAUUAUGAGGGUUUCGUUCCACAACAAGGAAAGACUAAAUUACUUGGGCACAAAUAAGUUAUUCAAUUGUCUUCAAGGGAAUAGCUUAGAACCUCACAUAUGAUUGCAUGGAAUAGACAAACUAAAUAGAGGUUAGUUCAGUCUGAAGAGUCCAUUCAAGAUAAAGGAAUUAAACUUCUUGUGAACUCUAGGUUCCAAACGUCAUUGAAGGAAGGUGUUACUGCUUCAGUACAGGUGACUGGAACAACACUAGGUAAUGGAAUGGUACAACAUGAUAUUAAGGAUCUACUGAACUUCAAUCAUGUGAAGAGGAAGUUGGUUCGACCAGCCACCAGUAUUGGUCAGUUUCUGGAUAAGGAACAGCAAGGUGAUGGAGUGGUACAUAACGAACUUGAUAUUUUUGAUGUACCAAAUUGCAAGCAGGUAAAGAGGAAGUCGAUCAUACCUGCUAGUACUAUUGAUCAUUUUCUAAAAAAUCAAGGGAUAAGCCUGGAUGAUGAAACUAAACGUGAUAACCAGACAACAGUUAAUGUGGAAUUUAUGCAUACUCCUAUUAUUAAUGAACACAACAAAGGAUUGGAUGAUCUUGUGGAUCAGGAAGAACUUGAUGGAGAUGAAUGUGAUGCCGAAGAGGAAAUUAACAUUGAUUGUAAUAUAAAAGGUAUGUCUUAAACCUUGUAAGAUUUCGUACUCGUUAUGAAAGAAAUAUCGUAUUUCCUGUCUAUUACAUCAAUCUAGAAAUAUCAAAGCCAAAAAAUAAGUUCGAGGACAAACAACAUGUAAGGAUAUUCACUCAAGAAAUUUGGAAGAAAGAAAGGAGGUGACAUUUGAUAAAGGACAAGCCGUGGGACCAACUAAUAAGACUGUGUCACAAUUAAGCAACUUUAUAGGAACCAUUGCAAGGAAUCCUAGACUCAUCAUCUUGAUGUACACUAUUUGGCAUGUAGUGUCAAAUGAUACUAAAAAGCGCAUGUGGGAAUAUAUCAAUUGCAAAUGUCAAAUUCCAGUAUGAGGAAAGAAGUGGGUGAUGACUGUCUUCGUGAUGCUUGGAGGCGACAUAAAAAAAAUCAAAAAGAAUUUUUUAUAAAUCUAGUACCAUUGAGGAGAUUCUAGAAAAAUGUCCUGAUGGCAUUCCAGAGAAUCAAUUCCACUAGUUUAUCGGGUAUUGGAAACACCCAACUGUUCAAGUAAGGAUAGAAUAUUGCAUUUCUACUCAUCGACAUAUUUUUUAUCAUAUCUAUUUUUUUAAUU
Molecule: long non-coding RNA, 3864 nt
Organism: Solanum pennellii
Lineage: Eukaryota; Viridiplantae; Streptophyta; Magnoliopsida; Solanales; Solanaceae
Exons: 3
Source: RefSeq, a predicted model, not a curated record